Long non-coding RNA from Cryptotermes secundus, 731 nucleotides. RefSeq lists it as uncharacterized. The record is from RefSeq and is a predicted model, not a curated record. The transcript is spliced from 3 exons. Lineage: Eukaryota; Metazoa; Arthropoda; Insecta; Blattodea; Kalotermitidae.
AUUUUGUCAGUAUGGCGGUGUAGGAUGUGUAGGACGUCUGGGACGAAGGUUCGUGAGGAUUUCGUUGAAAUUACACGGUUAUGUGUCAGCACAGGAAUUGUGUAUGUGCUCCAGCCCCUUCACCCUGUUCCAUGAGAAGGAAAUGGCUGCUGCGUGUCUUUUCUUAGCUUGCAGACUAGUACAGCAUCCAAGGGCUGUGGAAGAUGUGAUAAAGAUAGGACACAGGUGCCUCCACCCAGAGCAGCCUUGACUCAACACAGCAUCAGAGAUACACCGGGCGCAAGCACAGGAGCUGGUAUUCCUUGAGAAUGUCUUGCUUUGACAUGUCAGUUGACCAUCCGCAUGCAGACAUUGUGCACUGCUUCCAUCUGGGUAUAGGUAAGCGUCUUGCUGUCACUGCAGAGAGAUGAGGUAAGUGGAGGCUGCUCAGGUGCCUCUAAGAAGACUACUCGAAGAGCUGGAUUAUUCUGUGGUGUUGUGAACAUUAUCAUGUGGAAUUAUACGCAGAGUAUUUUUUGUACCUUAUUGGCAUGCAUAGCCACUAUGGUUGUUGUGAAGAGAGAGAGCACACUUUGACUAUUUAUUCUAAUGUGACAGUGAACAUCAGCAGAAAUACAGAUCUACAGAUAAUAAAUAAUGGCUAUUUCUUAUCCUCACUUUUGUGUUGAUGUGGUAGUGACGAUGAUGAUGAUUGUUAUCAGCAGCAUCACAGUUGAUGUAUGUUUCUUCUU